RNA transcript from Pan troglodytes (chimpanzee), 7025 nucleotides. It is a transcript of the gene named protein FRG1B-like, with no coding region annotated. The transcript has 9 exons. NCBI's taxonomy places the organism in Eukaryota, Metazoa, Chordata, Mammalia, Primates, Hominidae. The record is from RefSeq and is a predicted model, not a curated record.
GUUUACUUCGCCUCCACUUCUGUUCCUCCUCGCCCUGGUGCUGCUCCAGGUCACAUACUCUUCCCGAGCCGGCUUCAGCCUCUCCGCGCAGAAGUCUCCCGGAGUCAUGGCCUAGUACUCUUAUGUGAAGUCUACCAAGCUUGUGCUCAGGGGAACCGAGGUGAAGAGCUGGGUCCUGCAGCUCCGGCGGGAGCCUCCUCAGUUCUUUUCGGAUGCACUCCACCCCCGCGAAUCCGGUGGAAGCCGUGAUGCGGAGAGCCGGCUUCGUGGCCUCCCAGGCUUCUUUUGCUCUGACCCUGUCUGGGCUGGACGGAGGCCGGACCGCGGUUCCUGGCGCCUGUGCAGAGAGGGGCAGCCUCCUGCGCGGACGACCCUGGAAACAGGAUAGACGGGCGGGUGACCCGUGGCCCCGUACUCACGAGUUUGGGUCCCCUGAGGCAUCUCUCCAGGCCUCUGCCUGGUGGGUCUGCCUUAGUCUGAUCUUGUAGUUCAUUAUAAUAACUUCCUUUAUUAGGGAUUAUUCUUUUCUCCAUUGUCUCUUCCUGGAAAAAUUAUUGAUUAAUUUUUUUCUAAGCUAAUAUGUAGAGUGAAACCAGGAUGAAUCACACAGUGGUUGAGGUGUAUAUGGACUUUGAUAGGGAUAUGGGCUGGAACCUGCACUCUGUCAUUUACUAAUUUUGUAAUUUGUGGCAAAUUGGUUAAUAUGUCUGAACUUCCAUUUACUCAUUAAGAGAUCAAGUAUCUUUGAACCUCCGUUUACACAUUUAUACUUUCAGACCAUUUUUUAUACCUUUAGAAGACUGUGAGGAUUAAAUGAGAGAACAUACAUGCAGUAAAUAAAUUGAGCCAAAUGUGAGGAGGAGGUUGUAGUGGUAAUUUAUUAGCUCUUUAGGAGAAAAAUACCUGUGCAUUCAUAUCCCCGCUUCUUUUUUAACUGGCAGAUUUGCCUGAGGUUAACUGUACAUACAAAUAUUGAGCAUUUCCUCCUGGCCUCCGUGAUAAACAGAAGUUUUGAUAUUGUUAGGCGAGAUGGAAAGAAAGUAUCAAGGAGUGAGCUGAAGCCACUGCCCUUGAGAACCCUCUCGAGGAGUCUGGCCUCAUGAAGAUGCCAGAAUAAAUGGCAGUAAGAAGAAAGAGAGCAAAGAUAAGAAGAGAAAAAGAGAAGAAGAUGAAGAAACCCAGCUUGAUAUGUUGGAACGCAGCUCCUCACCAGCAAUGAAACAAAGCUGGACGGAGAAUGACUUUGACGAGCUGAGAGAAGAAGGCUUCAGAUGAUCAAAUUACUCUGAGCUACGGGAGGACAUUCAAACCAAAGGCAAAGAAGUUGAAAACUUUGAAAAAAAUAUAUGUACAUUUCUUAACGUGGAAUCUGGUGAACAGUAACAAACUUUGGUGAAAUUUCAGGAACCAUAGCCAUUGAAAUGGAUGAGGGAACCUAUAUACAUGCACUCGACAAUGGUCUUUUUACCCUGGGAGCUCCACACAAAGAAGAAUCGCCCUGAAACCUGGCUAUGGAAAAUAUCUUAGUAUAAAUUCAGAUGAACUUGUUGUUGGCGUUCAGAUGCAAUUGGACCAAGAGAACAAUGGGAAGCAGUCUUUCAAAAUAUUAGAUCCUGUGCUGAAAGAGAAACCAAGAAAAAAGAUGACAUUCCAGAAGAAGACAAAGGAAAUGUAAAACAAUGUGAAAUCAAUUAUGUACGGAGUCUCGCUCUGUCCCCCAGACUGGAGUGCAGUGCCAUGAUCUCAGCUCAUCGCAACCUCCACCUCCCAGGUUCAUGUGAUUCUCCUGCCUCAGCCUCCCGAGUAGCUGGGACUACAGGCACACGCCACUACGCUCGGCUAAUUUUUGUAUCUUUAGUAGAGACGGGGUUUCACCAUGUUGGCCAGGCUGUUCUCGAACUCCUGACCUCGAGUGAUCUGCCUGCCUUGGCCUCCCAAAGUGCUGGGAUUGCAGGCAUGAGCCACUGUGCCUGGCCUACAAUUAGACUUUUUUAAUAAGUGAAAAAGAAAUUAACAGUAUUUAUAAAUUUAAUAGUAAAUAUGUAUAAUCAGAGUUUGAGGUUUUUUCAAUGAAGGCAUUUUCUUUGCAUAAAGAAAUUUCAGAGCUUCCAAGACCACAAACUUAAAAUAAGUAAAGAAGCAGUAAAAUUCUUAAAAAGACACAGAAAGAUGGAUUUUUGCAUGAGACGCUUCUGGACAGGAGAUCCCCGGGCGAAUCUUGUGGCUGUCAAAGGAGGAGAAGCACUGCCGAAAAGGUGAACUAAUUUAUCGAGGUAGGCUGGCUAUUUAUUUAUUUAUCUUGUUGAUGGGAAGAUUCAAAUUGACAUACACAAUCACCCCCAUAAAGAUUUCAGGUAAAAAACAAACAAAGGUUUAGAUAUCAGAUGUGUUUUACAAUUACCACACCACUGUUUACUACAGCAUCCAGUAGCACAUUUCCAGUAGACUUAGGUGAAAAUUUCUAUCUCAUGAGCCUUCUGUCAGUACUUUUAAACUUGGAUACUCAAUAAAUAGUGGCCAAAUUGAAUCUCUUACAGGCAUCUCACUCAAACUGCAGUCAUACUUUCCAAUAGGCCCCAUAAAAAUCCUUGUUCUGGAGCAAUCUAAUAUAUUUAUCCACCUCUUUAGACACUUAGGUAAGUAUAAUAAUACAAGUUUUUUUUGUGUGUGUGUAUUGUGUACCUUGUGGCCUCUUGCCCAGUUUCUGCAACAACUGAAGCUGAGGCAAGUUUAAUGUAAAUAAUGUCCAGCAAUGUUAGAAAUGUUGACUUUUAUGUGUCCAUCAGGAAAAAAGGAUGAAUAUUGUAGAGGAAAUUUUCAUUCUGGAAAAAAUGCAUACUGUUUGAAUAUUACUUUCAUGCUUUCCACAGAUAUUAUACACAGAUAUUAUAUUCCAAGGGUUAUGUUUCAAAGUCAUCAAAAAUAGAAAAUACCUUUUAUAUUUCUAGCUGAAAAUAAUAACAGUAAUUAGCCUACCUUUGGGGAAAUGUGAUAAAAAUACUAAUGACCAUCACAACUGAUUAAAAGCAUAAAAUGUGCAAUGAUUUAAACUACAUGUUCUUUAUAUGAAUUAUAUGCAUAGAAAUAUAGACACAUUUGAUAAAUUAUAUUUAAAGUCUGAGUGCUUUGGUAAAUGAUUCAGUCAUCUGUAGAUUGAAGGGAUUACUUUUAUCUGCCUUCAUAGUGAGAAUUAGAUUUCUAUUCUUUAUAAAGCAGGGAAUAUAGAUUGUGCAUGGAGUAAAAGCAUUCAAUCAUUAUUAAUAAUGAUGGUAGCGGCGCUGCAGAGGAGAAAGCCUGUCAGAGUAACGUAUUCAGUUUUACAUCAUAAUCAGAGUGUGUCGAUCUCUGCUGAAGGCAGAAUUAAAAAGCCCUUCAACAUUUUUUAAAUAAUAGAUGAAAAACAUCUCAUAGUCACUUUUAAAAUUUGAAUUGACGAUUCCACAUGACAGGAAAAGGACCAAGAACAUCUUAAAGAAAUACUUCACUAUGGAAGUGAUGUUUUAAGUGCAAUUUCAUCAAGGAGAAGUUUUUCCAGAAAGUCUUUUGACCUCAGGAAGAAUCUCAUUAGUUUACUCUGGUAAAUAGUUUCUAGUAAAAUGAGAAAGAGUUGACUUUUUAAAAACAAUAAAAAAUUUACACGGUUUAAUCUAAUGUUGUGAUUUCGAAAGUGCUGCUUUUGCCCUCAUAGUUAUGCAUGUGUAUUUAUACGCAUUUUCUCGGCUCACUCAAACGCCAAUAAAAUACUUUACUAUCCAGGCUCCUUAAAAGCCAAAUUAAUUUCUAAAAGUGAGGAGUGUAUAUAUUCUGUGAGGUGUGUGCAGGUGUAUGCAUGAUAUGUGUGUGUGGUCUGUGUGUGUAGUAGGUACAUGGGGUAUGUAUAUGUGUGUGUGGAGUGUAUUGUGGGUGUUAUGUGUUUAUACUGCGUGUAGUAUGUGGGUGGUGCAUGGUGUGUAUAUGUGCUGUGUUUGUGGUGUAUGUGUGUUUGGUGUGUAUGUGUACUAUGUGUGGUGUGUGCAUGUGAUAUGUGUGUGGUGUAUGUGAUGUGUGUGUUUUGUGUGUGUAUGGUGCUGUGUGUGUGCGGUGUGUGUAGUGUUUGAUGUGUGCUUGAUGUGUUUGUAGAAUGUGUGUGUGGUGUGGUGUAUGUAUGUGAGGUAUGUGUUUGCUCUAUGUGUGUGGCACUGUAUGUACGUGUGCAGUGUGUGGGGAGUAUGUGUGGUGUGUGUGGUGUGUGGGGAGUAUGUAUGGGGUGUGUGAUGUGUGUGGUGCUGUAUGUGUGUGGUGUAAGUGUAGUAGAUUCAUGUGUGUGGUGUGGGGGUGUGUGCACGUGUGCACAUACUGUGUGGUGUGUGUGAUGUCUGUGGGGGGUGUGUGUGCACAUGGUGUGUACACAGUGUGUGGUGUCAGAGGUGUGCAUGUGUGCACAUGGUGUGUGUACAGUGUGUGGGGUGUGUGCAUGUAUACAUGGUGUGGGUGCAGUGUGGUGUCUGUGUGUGGUGUCUGGGGUGUGUGUGCAAGUGCACAUGGUGUGUGUGCAUGGUGUGUGCAUGUAUACAUGGUGUGGUGUGUGCAGUGUGUGGUGUCUGUGCAGGGUGUGUGUGCAUGUGUACAUGGUGUGUGUGCAGUGUGUGUGUAUACAUGGUGUGCUGUGUGCAGUGUGUGUGGUGUCUGGGUGGUGUCUGUGGGGUGUGUGCAUGUGUACAUGGUGUGUGUGCAGUGUGUGGUGUGUGUGUACAUGUGCACAUGGUGUGUGUGCAGUGUUGGGGGGGUGUGCAGUGCGUGUGGUGUCUUGGUUGUGUGUGCAGUGUGGUGUCUGAGGGGUGUGUGUGUGCACGUGCAUGGUGUGUGGUGUGUGUGCAUGUGUACAUGGUGUGUGUGCCGUGUGUGUGGCUUCUGCAUGUGGAGUGUGCAUGUGCACAUGACGUGGUGUGUGCAAUGUGGUGUGUAUGUGGGUGUGUGCGUGUGCACAUGGCGUGUGUGUAGUGUGGUGUCUGCUGUGUGCAGUGUGUGGUGUCUGGGGUGUGCAUGUGCACAUGGCGUGUGUGGUGUGUGUGGUGUAUGGGGUGUGUGUGUGUACACGGUGUGUGUGUGCAGUGUGUGUGGUGUCUGGGGUGCAUGUGUGCACAUGGAGUGGUGUGUGUAGUGUGUGUGAUGUCUGGGGUGUGCAUAUGCACAUGGUGUGUGUGCAGUGUGUGUGGUGUCUGUGUGGGGUGUGUGCAUGCGCACAUGGUGUGUGUACUGUGUGUGGUGUAUGUGUGUGGGGUGUGUGUGUGCACAUGGUGUGUGUGCAGUGUGUUUGUGUGCAGUGUGUGCAGGUGCAUAUGGUGUGUGUGCAGUGUGUGUGGUGUCUGUGGUGUGUGUGUGCACAUGGUGUGUAUGCAGUGUGUGUGGUGUGUGUGGGGUGUGUGCACAUAGUGUGUGUGCAGUGUGUGUGGUGUCUAUGUGUGGUGUGUGUGGUGUCUGUAUGGGGCCUGUGCAUGUGCACAUGGUGUGCGUACUGUGUGUGGUGUAUGUGUGUGGGGUGUGUGUGUGCACAUGGUGUGUGUGCAGUGUGUUUGUGUGCAGUGUGUGCAUGUGCAUAUGGUGUGUGUGCAGUGUGUGUGGUGUCUGUGUGUGUGUGCACAUGGUGUGUAUGCAGUGUGUGUGGUGUGUGUGGGGUGUGUGCACAUAGUGUGUGUGCAGUGUGUGUGGUGUCUAUAUGUGGCGUGUGUGCAGUGUGUGUGGUGUCUGUAUGGGGUGUAUGCAUGUGCACAUGGUGUGUGUGCAGUAGGUAUGUUUGUGGGGUGUAGGCAGUGGGUGUGAGGGGUGUGUGUGCAUGUGCACAUGGUGUGUGUGCUGUUUGUGUGGUGUCUGUGUGUGGGGUGUGUGUGCAUGUGCACACGGUGUGGUGUGUGCAGUGUGUGUGUUAUGAGUGACUGCUUCUCUUAGCAUGUGGACAUCAGUCUUCCAGACCAGCUUUCUCCACGUGUCUGGGAACAUAAGAAACAAGUUUCUGCAAUAAUUGUUACACAGCUUUUCCAGAGAGGGACCAAAUCUCUGUCGUGAGUGGGUAUCUGCAUCAUUUCGCGGGAGGGAAUGUGACGUCCUGGCUUGGCUCACACCCUCUGUGGGUUUAGGCACAGGUUCCUGCUGGAUCCCUCACUGUGGCCAGAGAGGGAGGGCUCUGCUUCACCACAGGGCACCAGAAGAGGACUGGUGCGCGGGAAGACCAGAGAAGUGCAGGUUCACAGCUAAACGGAGCAGAGAGUAAAGACUUCUCAUAUGUCCCUUUCCCCACACACAGCCUCCGCACUACAGCUUCCUGCCUCACAGGAGCACACCUGUGACAACCAGGAACCUACCUUGAUCCUUCAUUAUCACUCAAAGAUUACAGUGCACAUUCACGUUUACUCUUCACGUUGUACGUUCUGAGUCUUGACAAAAGUAUAAUGGCAACAGGAUGUUAUUCACUGCUAACAGGAGAUGAACUAUCAAGCCACAAAAAAAUACAUGGAGGAAACUUAAAUGCAUAUUGCUAAAAGAAGAAGCCAAUCCGAAAAGUCUACGUACUGUUCGAUUCCAAUUAUAUGACGUUCUGGAAACGGUGAAACUAUGGGAUCAGUAGAAAGAUCAGUGGUUGCCAUGGACCAAGGGGAAGGAAGAGAUGGAUACACAGAGCACAGAGAAUCUUCACGGCAGUAAAACCAUUCUGUAUGAUACUAUAAUGGUAGAUAUAUACAUUUGUAAAAAUCUAUCGUAACUUUUAAUCUUUUAAAUUACAUUUUUUUUUUUGAUGGAGUCUUGCUCUGUCGCAAGGCAGGAGUGCAGUGGCACGAUCUCGGCUUACUGCAACCUCCGCCUCCCGGGUUCAAGCGAGUUUCCUGCCUCGGCCUCCCGAGUAGCUGGGACUACAGGUGCCCGCCACUGCGCCUGGCUAAUUUUUGUAUUUUUAGUAGAGACUGCGUUCACCAUCUUGGCCAGGCUGGUCUUGAACUCCUGACCUUGUGAUUCACCUGCCUUGGCCUCCCAAAGUGCUGGGAUUACAGGUG